Molecule: long non-coding RNA, 360 nt
Organism: Glycine soja
Lineage: Eukaryota; Viridiplantae; Streptophyta; Magnoliopsida; Fabales; Fabaceae
Exons: 2
Source: RefSeq, a predicted model, not a curated record
AACAAAGAUAAAUUCGUUAUUGGCAUUGCUGAUUUGAAGAUGGCUAAGAUGUCUUUCAUGCAAUAUUUUGCUUUAUUCCUUAUCAUUUCAGUUGUUUUAAUCACAAAUGAAAUUGUUGCACAUAAAAUAUGCGUGCAUGUGGCACAACCGAGCAACUGUGGCUUUGACGUGUGUAAAGUGCGAUGCGGACAGUUAUUCAAUGGCAAAUUGGCCGCUGCGGAAUGCAUUAUUAAGAGUAAUAGUACAUAUGGCGCUAACCAAUGUACUUGUUUCUAUCGGUGUUAACUUAUAAUUAUAUUAUUCAUGUACCCAAAAUUAUGAGUUAACAUUAUACAAAUAAGAUGGGCAAAAAUAUCACAA